AUUGAACGCUGGCGGCAGGCGUAACACAUGCAAGUCGAGCGGAAACGAGUUAUCUGAACCUUCGGGGAACGAUAACGGCGUCGAGCGGCGGACGGGUGAGUAAUGCCUAGGAAAUUGCCCUGAUGUGGGGGAUAACCAUUGGAAACGAUGGCUAAUACCGCAUGAUGCCUACGGGCCAAAGAGGGGGACCUUCGGGCCUCUCGCGUCAGGAUAUGCCUAGGUGGGAUUAGCUAGUUGGUGAGGUAAGGGCUCACCAAGGCGACGAUCCCUAGCUGGUCUGAGAGGAUGAUCAGCCACACUGGAACUGAGACACGGUCCAGACUCCUACGGGAGGCAGCAGUGGGGAAUAUUGCACAAUGGGCGCAAGCCUGAUGCAGCCAUGCCGCGUGUAUGAAGAAGGCCUUCGGGUUGUAAAGUACUUUCAGUCGUGAGGAAGGCGGCGUCGUUAAUAGCGGCGUUGUUUGACGUUAGCGACAGAAGAAGCACCGGCUAACUCCGUGCCAGCAGCCGCGGUAAUACGGAGGGUGCGAGCGUUAAUCGGAAUUACUGGGCGUAAAGCGCAUGCAGGUGGUUUGUUAAGUCAGAUGUGAAAGCCCGGGGCUCAACCUCGGAAUAGCAUUUGAAACUGGCAGACUAGAGUACUGUAGAGGGGGGUAGAAUUUCAGGUGUAGCGGUGAAAUGCGUAGAGAUCUGAAGGAAUACCGGUGGCGAAGGCGGCCCCCUGGACAGAUACUGACACUCAGAUGCGAAAGCGUGGGGAGCAAACAGG
Molecule: ribosomal RNA, 769 nt
Filed under: uncultured Pseudoalteromonadaceae bacterium
Lineage: Bacteria; Pseudomonadati; Pseudomonadota; Gammaproteobacteria; Alteromonadales; Pseudoalteromonadaceae
Description: bacterial SSU rRNA
Rfam family: Bacterial small subunit ribosomal RNA
Source: RNAcentral